CCUACGGGAGGCAGCAGUGGGGAAUAUUGGACAAUGGGGGGAACCCUGAUCCAGCCAUGCCGCGUGUGUGAAGAAGGCCCUCGGGUUGUAAAGCACUUUCAGUGAGGAAGAACGCCUGUGGUUAAUACCCAUCAGGAAAGACAUUACCCACCGAAGAAGCACCGGCUAACUCCGUGCCAGCAGCCGCGGUAAUACGGAGGGUGCGGAGCGUUAAUCGGAAUUACUGGGCGUAAAGCGCGCGUAGGUGGCUUGAUAAGCCGGUUGUGAAAGCCCCGGGCUCAACCUGGGAACGGCAUCCGGAACUGUCAAGCUAGAGUGCAGGAGAGGAAGGUAGAAUUCCCGGUGUAGCGGUGAAAUGCGUAGAGAUCGGGAGGAAUACCAGUGGCGAAGGCGGCCUUCUGGACUGACACUGACACUGAGGUGCGAAAGCGUGGGUAGCAAACAGGAUUAGAUACCCCUGUAGUC
RNAcentral lists this ribosomal RNA (465 nucleotides) under Vreelandella stevensii. RNAcentral's name for it is "partial 16S ribosomal RNA". It matches the Rfam family "Bacterial small subunit ribosomal RNA", at positions 338 to 795 of the family's 1533-position model. The record is from RNAcentral. Lineage: Bacteria; Pseudomonadati; Pseudomonadota; Gammaproteobacteria; Oceanospirillales; Halomonadaceae.